UGGUGUAGCAGGAGUCUGGAGGAGGAUAUGUCUUCCUAAAACUUUGUUCAUUGACUGCUCAAAUUUUCAAUGCUGGGAUGGCACCAGUUAACUCAUUGUGCUGAAGGACUAAUCUAAGUUGUCUAACUCUAACUAUAUGCCAGUACAUCAGUGAUCAGAGCACCGCUUUAACUGUUCUAACCUGCAGUAACUCUACUUUAUGUUACAAUCAGAUAAUUGAGGCCAUAAAAUAAGGAAAGCAUUACAUGAGUUUCAGUGAACUCAAGUCUUACAGUAGCUUAUUUUGCUGACUAUUCAUGCAUGAACAAGCUCCUGUACAGUUUUACAAAGAGUACAAUUAUCUAAAAUUCCAGGCACAGUAACAUUUAUUCUACAAUGUUGUGGCUUAACUUGACUUGAUGUCGUGCCUGAAUCGACUCUGUGCUCAGUUGUUGUAAUGCUAACUUAACUGUCAGUGUUUUAUUUUGAUCUUUGUUUCCACAGGAGCAGGAACAUUAGAAGCUGCUGGAGUAACUGCUGCUGUUCUCCUGCCUGUCAUAUUCUUCUCUGUCUUCCUGUGGAUUCAAAAAAAGAGGAUGUCCAAGGAACCUGUUAAAUCUGAAGACAGAGCCAACAACAGAGAACAGUGUUUACCUGACCA
RNAcentral lists this long non-coding RNA (640 nucleotides) under Oreochromis niloticus (Nile tilapia). RNAcentral describes it as "lncRNA (ENSONIG00000035003.1)". The record is from RNAcentral. Lineage: Eukaryota; Metazoa; Chordata; Actinopteri; Cichliformes; Cichlidae.